Herpailurus yagouaroundi (jaguarundi) is the source of this 508-nucleotide long non-coding RNA. RefSeq lists it as uncharacterized. The transcript has 2 exons. NCBI's taxonomy places the organism in Eukaryota, Metazoa, Chordata, Mammalia, Carnivora, Felidae. The record is from RefSeq and is a predicted model, not a curated record.
UGCCCACUUCCCAAGGAUAAGAUGGAGGUCGGACAGGUACACUGACUUAUCCCAGGCCCAGCACUGGCACCAGAACUUGGGUCCCCCUGGCCCAGGUCGUGCUCCUCCCGACACCACCCUGCAGCUGACCAGAGAAGUGUGCAGCCCUGAGGAGGAGCCAAUGAGCAGAAACGGGGUGCAGUCAGGGAGCCCAGGUGACAUAAGAGGCCAGAAUCAGGGACCUUUGGGGAAGAAGUACCAGCUCCGGCUUCCCAGGUGCUGAAGGUCCACAUGACCAUUGGAAGGGACACGCCAGACCUGUGCCACGCAGUACUUUGAGGGCCCGUGAGUUUAUCCGGGCUUGGAGCAGGGGCGCAUAAUCCUCCAGUAAAGAGGGAGGGCUCUUCCUCACAUGCCUGAAAUCUGCUGCAGAAAGAUGCACGGAGCAAGAAUCUGUUCACACACCACCGUGAACCAUCUCUUUCUCCUGGCCAAACUUUCAGUGUGGUAGUACUUGGCAUUCCCAAAG